GGGAAAAGUAUGAUGCAAAGGGUUGGACAGAGAAAGGGGCACACAAAUAUGGCAGAUUAAACGAACAAUCGUGGUGGGAGAAAUGGGGAGAACAUUAUGAUGGAAGAGGAUCUGUUCUUAAAUGGACAGAUAAGUGGGCGGAAACUGAGCUUGGAGAAAUGGGGAGAACAUUAUGAUGGAAGAGGAUCUGUUCUUAAAUGGACAGAUAAGUGGGCGGAAACUGAGCUUGGAACAAAAUGGGGAGACAAGUGGGAAGAGAAAUUUUUCGCUGGAAUUGGUUCGCGGCAAGGAGAGACUUGGC
RNAcentral lists this unclassified non-coding RNA (301 nucleotides) under Hevea brasiliensis (rubber tree). The record is from RNAcentral. Lineage: Eukaryota; Viridiplantae; Streptophyta; Magnoliopsida; Malpighiales; Euphorbiaceae.